GACGAACGCUGGCGGCGUGCUUAACACAUGCAAGUCACGGGGGCCCGGUGGCAACAUCGGGUAACCGGCGAACGGGUGCGUAACACGUGAGCAAGCUUCCGAUUUGUGGGGGAUAGCCGGCCCAACGGCCGGGUAAUACCGCAUACGAUCACCGGACGGCAUCGUCUGGUGAGGAAACCUCCGGGGCAAAUCGAGGCGCUCGCGGCCUAUCAGCUAGUUGGCGGGGUAACGCCCACAAGGCAUGACGGUAGCUGGUCUGAGAGGAUGGCCAGCCACAUUGGGACUGCGACACGGCCCAGACUCCUACGGGAGGCAGCAGUGGGGAAUAUUGCGCAAUGGAACGAAAGUCUGACGCAGCGACGCCGCGUGU
Molecule: ribosomal RNA, 370 nt
Filed under: uncultured bacterium
Lineage: Bacteria
Description: bacterial SSU rRNA
Rfam family: Bacterial small subunit ribosomal RNA
Source: RNAcentral